This 252-nucleotide ribosomal RNA is filed under the name uncultured bacterium. Its description in RNAcentral is "partial 16S ribosomal RNA". It matches the Rfam family "Bacterial small subunit ribosomal RNA", at positions 524 to 776 of the family's 1533-position model. The record is from RNAcentral.
UACGAAGGUGGCAAGCGUUGUUCGGAUUUACUGGGCGUAAAGGGCGCGUAGGCGGAUCUGCAAGUCAGAGGUGAAAGCCCUGGGCUCAACCCGGGAAUGGCCUUGAGACUGCAAGUCUUGAGUGCGAGAGAGGGUGGCGGAAUACCCAGUGUAGAGGUGAAAUUCGUAGAUAUUGGGUAGAACACAGGUGGCGAAGGCGGCCACCUGGCUCGCAACUGACGCUGAGGCGCGAAAGCGUGGGGAGCAAACAGG